RNAcentral lists this ribosomal RNA (443 nucleotides) under uncultured bacterium. Its description in RNAcentral is "partial 16S ribosomal RNA". It matches the Rfam family "Bacterial small subunit ribosomal RNA", at positions 338 to 795 of the family's 1533-position model. The record is from RNAcentral.
CCUACGGGAGGCAGCAGUGGGGAAUAUUGGGCAAUGGGCGCAAGCCUGACCCAGCAACGCCGCGUGAAUGAAGAAGGCUUUCGGGUUGUAAACUUCUUUUCUCAGGGACGAAGCAAGUGACGGUACCUGAGGAAUAAGCCACGGUUAACUACGUGCCAGCAGCCGCGGUAAUACGUAGGUGGCAAGCGUUAUCCGGAUUUACUGGGUGUAAAGGGCGUGUAGGCGGGAAAGCAAGUCAGAUGUGAAAACCAUGGGCUUAACCUGUGGCCUGCAUUUGAAACUGUUUUGCUUGAGUACUGGAGAGGCAGAUGGAAUGCCAAGUGUAGCGGUGAAAUGCGUAGAGAUUAGGAGGAACACCGAUGGCGAAGGCAGUCUGCUGGACAGCAACUGACGCUGAGGCGCGAAAGCGUGGGGAGCAAACAGGAUUAGAUACCCCAGUAGUC